RNAcentral lists this ribosomal RNA (619 nucleotides) under uncultured bacterium. RNAcentral's name for it is "bacterial SSU rRNA". It matches the Rfam family "Bacterial small subunit ribosomal RNA", at positions 52 to 669 of the family's 1533-position model. The record is from RNAcentral.
UACAUGCAAGUCGAACGAGAUUGAGAAGCUUGCUUUUCAUGAAAGUGGCGCACGGGUGCGUAACGCGUAUGCAACCUACCUUAAUCAGGGGGAUAGCCUCUCGAAAGAGAGAUUAACACCGCAUAAUAUCAUUUAAUGGCAUCAUUGAAUGAUCAAAUAUUUAUAGGAUUGAGAUGGGCAUGCGUGACAUUAGCUAGUUGGCGGGGUAACGGCCCACCAAGGCUACGAUGUCUAGGGGAUCUGAGAGGAUGACCCCCCACACUGGUACUGAGACACGGACCAGACUCCUACGGGAGGCAGCAGUAAGGAAUAUUGGUCAAUGGGGGCAACCCUGAACCAGCCAUGCCGCGUGCAGGAAGACGGCCCUACGGGUUGUAAACUGCUUUUAUACGGGAAUAAAUCUUGGUACGUGUACCGAGUUGAAUGUACUGUAGGAAUAAGGAUCGGCUAACUCCGUGCCAGCAGCCGCGGUAAUACGGAGGAUCCAAGCGUUAUCCGGAUUUAUUGGGUUUAAAGGGUGCGUAGGCGGCCUAUUAAGUCAGGGUGAAAGACGGUGGCUCAACCAUCGCGGUGCCUUUGAUACUGAUAGGCUUGAAUACACUAGAGGUAGGCGGAAUGU